This is a non-coding RNA of Pimephales promelas (fathead minnow), 509 nucleotides long. NCBI's taxonomy places the organism in Eukaryota, Metazoa, Chordata, Actinopteri, Cypriniformes, Leuciscidae. The record is from RefSeq and is a predicted model, not a curated record.
AUGACAGAACCAAAUGCUUGGAAAUGGAAGUGUUCUUUGGAACCUGGAAAAAAAAAUAGCAAAAGAGGUGUAAGGCUCAAGGACUGAAAAGCCAUUUGCUAAGGAGCUGAAGGUCCCACCCUGAGGAAUGCUUUCUUGACCAGUUGGGAAAGACUUUGGGAUCAAGGAACGGUUGGGAUCUUCCGAUUCUCGCCAAUGAAUUGCGCAAGAGAUAAGCUUACUUUUACACAUGAAAGCUACUGAUCUGAAUAGACUUUUAGUACUUAUUGUCUUUGAGAUUAGAGAAAACCCUGCAAGAAGCCACCAAUCCACUUUGAGCUAUAUUCUCGAUGGCAAGAAAAACAGGACUAUGCAUGUGACGUGCUGCUAAAGAGUCAUGAACAGGAGGAGUCAUUGGGAUGAAGCAUGUACUUCUUCUGUUUACUCUCCUACCUUUUAUUUUAAAGGUCAUUCUGUAUAAAGGUUAUUGGUGGGCAGAGAAUAGAAUGGGGGAAAGCAGGAGAAAUAGG